AGAGUUUGAUCCUGGCUCAGGAUGAACGCUGGCGGCGUGCUUAACACAUGCAAGUCGAGCGAUGAAGUUUCCUUCGGGAAACGGAUUAGCGGCGGACGGGUGAGUAACACGUGGGUAACCUGCCUCAUAGAGUGGAAUAGCCUUUCGAAAGGAAGAUUAAUACCGCAUAAUGUUGAAAGAUGGCAUCAUCAUUUAACCAAAGGAGCAAUCCGCUAUGAGAUGGACCCGCGGCGCAUUAGCUAGUUGGUGGGGUAACGGCCUACCAAGGCGACGAUGCGUAGCCGACCUGAGAGGGUGAUCGGCCACAUUGGGACUGAGACACGGCCCAGACUCCUACGGGAGGCAGCAGUGGGGAAUAUUGCACAAUGGGGGAAACCCUGAUGCAGCAACGCCGCGUGAGUGAUGAAGGUUUUCGGAUCGUAAAGCUCUGUCUUUGGGGAAGAUAAUGACGGUACCCAAGGAGGAAGCCACGGCUAACUACGUGCCAGCAGCCGCGGUAAUACGUAGGUGGCGAGCGUUAUCCGGAUUUACUGGGCGUAAAGGGAGCGUAGGCGGAUGAUUAAGUGGGAUGUGAAAUACCCGGGCUCAACUUGGGUGCUGCAUUCCAAACUGGUUAUCUAGAGUGCAGGAGAGGAGAGUGGAAUUCCUAGUGUAGCGGUGAAAUGCGUAGAGAUUAGGAAGAACACCAGUGGCGAAGGCGACUCUCUGGACUGUAACUGACGCUGAGGCUCGAAAGCGUGGGGAGGCAAACAGGAUUAGAUACCCUGGUAGUCCACGCCGUAAACGAUGAAAUACUAGGUGUGGGGGUUUCAACACCUCCGUGCCGCCGCUAACGCAUUAAGUAUUCCGCCUGGGGAGUACGGUCGCAAGAUUAAAACUCAAAGGAAUUGACGGGGACCGCGCACAAGUAGCGGAGCAUGUGGUUUUAAAUUCGAAGCAACGCGAAGAACCUUACCUACACUUGACAUCCCUUGCAUUACUCUUAAUCGAGGAAAUCCCUUCGGGGACAAGGUGACAGGUGGUGCAUGGUUGUCGUCAGCUCGUGUCCGUGAGAUGUUGGGUUAAGUCCCGCAACGAGGCGCAACCCUUGUCGUUAGUUACUACCCAUUAAGUUGAGGACUCUAGCGAGACUGCUUGGGUUAACCAGGAGGAAGGUGGGGAUGACGUCCAAAUCAUCAUGCCCCCUUAUGUGUAGGGCUAGCACACGUGCUACAAUGGCUGGUACAGAGAGAUGCAAUACCGCGAGGUGGAGCCAAACUUAAAAACCAGUCUCAGUUCGGAUUGUAGGCUGAAACUCGCCUACAUGAAGCUGGAGUUACUAGUAAUCGCGAAUCAGAAAUGUCGCGGUGAAUACGUUCCCGGUCUUGUACACACCGCCCGUCACACCAUGAGAGUUGGCAAUACCGAAGUCCGUGAGCUAACCGCAAGGAGGCAGCGGCCGAAGGUAGGG
Molecule: ribosomal RNA, 1450 nt
Filed under: Clostridium perfringens
Lineage: Bacteria; Bacillati; Bacillota; Clostridia; Eubacteriales; Clostridiaceae
Description: bacterial SSU rRNA
Rfam family: Bacterial small subunit ribosomal RNA
Source: RNAcentral